GCUAAAAACCUAGCUCAACUUUACGCAAAUACCACAACCAAACAACUGUAACUAAACAAAACAUUUUUAAAUUUUUAGUAAAGGCGAUUGAAAAAUAUCUAGAAGCUAUAACAAUAGUACCGCAAGGGAAAAGUGAAAUAAAAAUGAAAUAACUUUAAAGCAAAGCUAAGCAGAGAUUUAACCUCGUACCUUUUGCAUCAUGGUCUAGCUAGUUUAACCAAGCAAAGCGAAAUUAUAGUUUGACACCCCGAAACUAGGUGAGCUACUUCAAAACAGCCUUCAAGGGCCAACCCGUCUCUGUUGCAAAAGAGUGGGAAGAUUUUCAAGUAGAGGUGAUAGACCUACCGAACCUAGAGAUAGCUGGUUAUUCAGGAAAAGGAUUUAAGUCCUACCUUAAGUUUUUCUAUACUACAAAAUAUACCCAUAAACUUAAGAGCUAUUCAAAUAAGGUACAGCCUAUUUGAAACAGGAAACAACCUAAAACACAGGGUAAUGAUAUUCUAAAUGUGACCAAGUGGGCCUAAAAGCAGCCAACUUUUAAAUAGCGUUAAAGCUUCAUCACUUCAUUUAACAAAUAACCAUAACACCACAAAACCCUUUACCACUACUGAAUGACUCCAUAAUUGUAUGGAGAACACUAUGCUAGAACUAGUAACAAGAAGAAGACCUUCUCCAAAAUGUAAGUGUAAGCCAAAAUGAACAUCUCACUGGCACUUAUCGUCUCUGAACUUACGGUAGCAACUUCACAAGAAAAUACUACCACACAAAACGUUAACCUUACACCAGAACAUUACCGGAAAGAUUAAAAGAAGAGGAAGGAACUCGGCAAAUUUUAACCCCGCCUGUUUACCAAAAACAUCGCCUCCUGAAAUAACUAUAGGAGGUCCAGCCUGCCCAGUGACAAAGUUAAACGGCCGCGGUACCCUAACCGUGCGAAGGUAGCGCAAUCACUUGUUCUUUAAAUGAGGACUAGUAUGAAUGGCAUCACGAGGGUUAUACUGUCUCCCUCUUUCAAUCAGUGAAACUGAUCUUCCCGUGAAGAAGCGGGAAUACAUCUAUAAGACGAGAAGACCCCAUGGAGCUUAAAACUCAGUAUCAACUACUAUACUAAUUUAUCCUCUUAAUUAAGCAGAUCUGACUACUAGUUUUCGGUUGGGGUGACCGCGGAGCAAAACAAAACCUCCACGAUGAAAGGAACUAACCUCCUAAUCAAAGAGCUACCUCUCUAAGAAUCAACAAAUUGACAUUUAUUGAUCCAACUUUUUUGAUCAACGAACCAAGUUACCCUGGGGAUAACAGCGCAAUCCAUUUCAAGAGCCCCUAUCGACAAAUGGGUUUACGACCUCGAUGUUGGAUCAGGGUAUCCCAGUGGUGCAGCCGCUACUAAAGGUUCGUUUGUUCAACGAUUAAAACCCU
This 1416-nucleotide ribosomal RNA is filed under the name Scaphiophryne marmorata (marbled rain frog). RNAcentral's name for it is "partial large subunit ribosomal RNA". It matches the Rfam family "Bacterial large subunit ribosomal RNA", at positions 155 to 2597 of the family's 2925-position model. Lineage: Eukaryota; Metazoa; Chordata; Amphibia; Anura; Microhylidae. The record is from RNAcentral.